Microplitis mediator is the source of this 346-nucleotide long non-coding RNA. RefSeq lists it as uncharacterized. The transcript is spliced from 3 exons. The record is from RefSeq and is a predicted model, not a curated record. Lineage: Eukaryota; Metazoa; Arthropoda; Insecta; Hymenoptera; Braconidae.
UGCGUAGUCAAAAAUAAUGGAGGGAAAUUUUUGAUGAAAUUUUUCUACUUUUACUUUAGCGGAUAAUGGCCACAGUAAUUUUUGAAUUUUUAUGUACGCGGGAAAUUAAAAAACUGGCGGGAGAGAUUUAAAAAUUUGGAAUUUAUUUUCGCAGCGCGACUUCGCAGUUCAGAAUUACGCGGGAAAUUGAAAAACUGGCGGGAGAGAUUCAAAAAUUUGAAAUAAGAAAUUUUUGGAAAACCCAUAACACAAUCGAUUUUUAACACUGGUAUUUUAGGUCUCAAUCGAUGGCAAUCGAUCCUAUCAGCGACUCAAGUACUUUUAUACAGUGUGGAACUGACGAGUG